This 253-nucleotide ribosomal RNA is filed under the name uncultured bacterium. RNAcentral's name for it is "partial 16S ribosomal RNA". It matches the Rfam family "Bacterial small subunit ribosomal RNA", at positions 524 to 776 of the family's 1533-position model. The record is from RNAcentral.
UACGUAGGGGGCUAGCGUUGUCCGGAAUCAUUGGGCGUAAAGAGCGUGUAGGCGGUCCGGUAAGUCCGCUGUGAAAGUCGGGGGCUCAACCCUCGAAUGCCGGUGGAUACUGUCGGGCUAGAGUGCGGAAGAGGCGAGUGGAAUUCCUGGUGUAGCGGUGAAAUGCACAGAUAUCAGGAGGAACACCUAUUGCGAAGGCAGCUCGCUGGGACGUAACUGACGCUGAGACGCGAAAGCGUGGGGAGCAAACAGG